GCUCCGCGUUUACGGCGCCGGACGUUUAGCGGGGUCCCGGGCAGCGGCGGCGGUUUGCUCCGUCAGCCUCCCCGCCUCUUGAGGUGACCUGAGCUCGCGGGGAGGGCCGGCACCGCCGGACAUCGCCUGCAGCGGUCCUGGUGGUGGUGGGUCAUCCCGAUCGGCUGUAGGAGUUCGAGGUUUCCUAACCGAGCGCUCCCGAAAUUGGCGAGGAAAGCGUGAAAAGCGAGGCGACGGCUGCGAGCGGUCUUCAAACAGCCGGUAACCUUACCCGCUCCCUGCUCUCCACAGCCCGCACCAGAUCUUUCCCACAGAACUAAACCUCCUCCAGAGUCCCAGGAAAGAUAUGAAGCCACGUGGAAAUUACAACCUGAAAAUGACUUGUGCCAGCAUCGUGUGCAUUACAAAAGCCAGGGUUCACUCCUCAAAUACGACCCGCUGCGCUGAGGAGUAAGGACUGAACACAGAAUUGACAAGAACACCUUGGUGUGGCUCCUACCUUUUUUGCAGAAGUUGUCCUUCUCUAAAAGAAACAUUUAAAUGCCAUGUGACAGUGCACCAGAGAACUCUGUAUUAGGGAGCAGUUGCAAAUUUGAGCAGCACUGAGAAUAAUGAUUAUGACUUUUAGAUUCGGGGUACCUAAGUCUACCUACAGACGUUCAGGCGAGCGAUUGACCAUUACAGGGACUUGCACUGACCUGGUGUCCUCCUGCCCUGGCUGCUGCGUGUUGUUCUAUUACUGCCUACUACAAGUCACCCUUCCUGUUGGGAUGACAGGCAGUGAGCUGCUCGUCAUUAUUUCAGAUUCAGUCACAGGAACGUACCUGAGUUUCAGUACAGAAAUAUCCAAUUGCCAAACAGAAUCAUUCAGAAGCUUCCAAGGAUCAUCUGCAAAUUCCCACCCGUGGCAGCAGAAGACCAAAAUCAUUAGCGCCAGCUUGGACCUGAGAGCUGGCUGUGCAAACUGCAUGGCAAUCCAGAAUGGGCAGAUACUCAUUUCAGAUUCAUUCUGAAAAUGAUCAACGGAGGAUUCUCUUCUAGAGGAUGACUCCCUUCUUUAAUGAAGCAAAGGUGUCUUCUGCACCCCCUAUCUCCUACCAAAAGGGAGAAAACAAAAUGCAAGGGAGGAGGUGUGACUGAGCAGAAUUCAACAGUGCUCGUCACUCAUUGGCGCUGUAUGUCACAGAAUAAAUCAGAGUCCUCCAUUUUACUUUUGCUGGGUCUUGAGGCCAGCAUGGGACGAUAUCCUCAGUCAGGAGGGUGUAAUAUACUGCUUGUCUUUUCUGCUCUGCUAAAUCAAGCUAUUUUGCAGGAGAGAACACAAAUUGUCAAGCUAUCCCUGGCAUUCAUUCUUUCUAGAGCUUAUUCUUCACCAGGGAUCCAGUUGUACUUACUCUGGAAUAUGCUCUGUCAUAUUCUUUGAGCCUGAGGGCGUAUCACAAAAAAAUAAUCCACAGAUUCUUCUUUUUUUUUUUUAAUUUAGCUUUUGACAUGCCUGAUAGAAAAAUAACCCUAAAUCUGGGUAAUCCAGUUUGCAGAACAUCUGAAGCAUAAGUCAUUUCAGAGUUUGAACCAAACCCAAAUCCAUUCACAUCAAAUCAAUUUAUUUAAUUAUUUCAAAACCACCUUCCAAUUCCACCCCCAGAGCCUAUUUAUGUGCCUUGCCAGUAUAGCUAGCAUUGUGGACUGGCUUCCGUUUAUAUUCACAUGUAGAACAAUAGGAUGCACUAUAAAAAACAUGCAUUUUGUGACAUAUCCAUCUAAAUGUGUCAGCGUAUGGCAGGGGAUCCUUUUCUGCAGGUGCAAGCUUUGCAAAUGGCAGUUGUAUUAGAAAAGUCUCAUCUGACAUACAAACUGUGGAGUUAAGUGGUACCUGUGUGAACACAAUGAGUAUCGGUUCUCUCCAUCCAUGGAUAUUUUUCUGAGUAAGAAAAAGCUUAGCUUUGUAAAGAGUACGAUAAAGAGUAGGAAAGAUCACUUCAGUAAGUUGCAAAGAAUAGUCGUGCAAAUCCAAAAGGGUAAUUUUGUGAAGUGAUUAAUUGCUUAUGCUGUGAAGGCUGCAUGGCCUGAAGUAAAAAUGCACAUGCUAUCAUCACCAGAUUUUUUAAGAGUUCAGUAACAAAGGUAGAGGAUAUAUAAUUUACAAACCUUUUCAAGACAUCUUGGGAACUAAGAGGCUAGAAAUAAAAGACAUGCUGAUGUUUACAUGAAUACACUGCCAAAUGUAACGUCUUAUGUUUUCAAUUAGGGAUGCACCUUGUCUUCUGCAGGUGAGACCCAACAAAAAAGAAAAACCCUCCAGCAAAAGAAUGGAGAUUUAUUUUGGUUGUCAGAGGUAGCUUGUUGCCAUCCACAGACUAUCAACUCUACUUGCACUUGCUAAAUUCACAGACCUUCGCAUUUUGGGACUUUUCUGACUUUUAUCUGAAGUAGUUUGCCCUUUUUUUGCAGAGAAAUUACUUUGUACUGCCCCAAAAUCCCACUCUUAGAUUUGGUGGUCUUGUACCCUGAGAAACCGAGGACUCACAAGUCUCCUCAUUCUUCUCUCUGUUUGCUCAAUUUUUUCCCUUUCCUCCAUUAAGCUCAUUUGCUAAAUGUUUCUCCAUGCUUUCUCUGCUGUUAACUCCAUCAUUUCAUGGAGUACCAGGUAAUUUAAAAGGAGGACAAUUUCACAGAAUCAUUUGGGUUGGAAGGGACCUCUUGAGAUGAUGUAGUCCAAGCCCCUGCUCAAGCAGGGUCCCUAGAGGCAGUUACCCAGGACUGUGUCCUGGGGGGUUUUGAGCAUCUCCCAGGAUGGAGACUCCACAGCCUCUCUGGGCAGCCUGCUCCAGAGUUUGGCCACCCUCACAGUAAAAAACCUGUUUUUUGCUGUGUUCGUGUUUACCCUUAGUAAAGAGAUUUAGCAGUCACAAACCUGUCACACCUUCCAACCUGUUUCUUCGCACACCUUGUUGACUGCUGUUAGGGAAAGACUCGUGACUGUGGGAACUCUGCAAUUACAGACAUGUUCGUUCUUUUUUACAUCCUUGGUCCAAAGCUAACUGAUAUCUUUAUCUUCAACUGGGACCUUAAUUUUACCAUUUUCCUAGACGAAAAUGUCAGUAUUUCCAUGUUUGCUGUAUUUGAUUCCCUGUUAAAUUCCCUCUCAUUUUGUUUUAUUCUGUGUAUACAACUCUUACUGACAUUUAAUCAAGAAAACUAGUGACCUGUCAUAGCCUUUUCCCACUGCUAUUAUACUAAGACCUGACAUGUCUUAAAGUGAAUUCCUGUCUUGUUUCAGAAUAUUUGCUCUUUGUUUUGCAGUGUUAAUACUACACAAUCUCUUCACCUCCCAAACCUAUACAUUCUUCCAGACCAAAGUGUUUUUCGUUUUACCUUGUGUCUUGCAUCCAAAAGUCAUAAUAUAAUGCUGGACCACGUUUUUGCUUACCACGAAAGGUUUUUUUCAGAACUCUAUUAUGCAUUCUUACCAUUGUCAGUGCCCUCUUCCUGGCUCCUACCCUCUAAUUGUUAUGAGUUUUCUAUGCUCAUCUUCUGAAUCUGUCAUUUUCACCCUUUAUAAUCAUAUCACACAUUCUUAUCACACCCAAGCUUUUUUUUUCUCUUCAUGUUCAAGGCUCCCCAAGCCCCCUACAAUAAAAGGGGACAAUAAAGACUCCUUCUGCGAACCAACAAAAAUGGUGUGAACAUGUGGUUGCACACAUGUGCUGAAUCUCAUCUUUGCUUCAGUGAAAGCAGGUUGUUACCCCUGGAUAUCUCUGGCUACACAGCAAACAAUUCUGCUUUGCUUUACAACGGGUUUUUAAGGAGGGAGAGAACCUUAUGUGUUAAUCAUAUCAUCAGUACUCACAGUCAAGGCCCCUAGGGAAAAAAACAAUACUAAAAAUUACAAGAAUUUUAUCAGUAAAAGUAAUCUGGUUUAAUACAAAUUUUAAUUUGACUUUGAAUGCAGCCAUUUCUUUAACCAGAGGUUUUUUCUAGGAUCACUCUUAAUUUGUACAGUUGAGUAAAUUUCACCAGUUCAGACACCCAAGAAGCUGUUUUUGCAAGAAUCAAUAAAACCAUCUUAUUCUUAAUCACUUUGUAUAAAUAAGACAACAAAUUAGUGCAUAAUAAGAAGUCUUUUGUAGCAAAGGACAGACUAAAGUCCCAAAAGUAUAGCCUAUGAUAUAUUAGAAUAAAUAAAGGAUGUAACCAGAUAAAACAGGAAGAGGUGCUGCCCAGGCAUAGUCUAAACGUGUUAGUUUUUAUUUUACACUGUAAUAAAUACUGUUUCUGUAUCAAAACAUAGCUUAUAUAUAUCCUGAAUGCUUAGCAACUUCCAGCUACUUUAAUUUCUUCAAAUUGGAAUUACAUAGUCUCUCUACUGUUACGUCUUUCCCUAAGCACAUCUCAGGAAAAUAGUAUUAAGCACCAGUAACUUUUCUGCCACAUAUAAAGUCAUGGGUUCAGGGACUGGCUAGAAAGAGAAUUACAUUAAAACACAUCAAUAUUUUAUGGGGAUUUCCCAGCUUGAAUAUAGCAGAAUAAAACCUGUAUCUGUAAGGAAUAUGCAUUUCAGUACUUCAGCAGGGCAGUACAAUAAGGUAAUUAGCAAAUGUAAAACCAAGACACAAUUCUUUCGUAAACUGACUUAUUCAGGCAGGGCUGGAAAACCGGAGUGGCACUCGGGAGUGACCGCCCAUGCCACUGCGGUGUGCUGUGUCUUCAGGUUUUCUUUCAUCCCGAUGUGGGUAUCGCCUCUGCAAUCAAGUUCUUUGCAACUUGAGGUGAGCAGUAGAUCAACUGGGCACUAUGGGAGGCUUGCCAGAUUAAUUUGGCCUGCUGCCUGUUGUUCAAUCUGGAGUCAUUGAAGCCCCGGGUUUCCCUGGGACCGUGCUGCCAAAUACUCCAUAUGGGAUGCCCAGAAAUAUUGCCUAAUGUUAGGGAGAUUUAGUUCUCCUGUGUCUCAAUGGGCCUAUACAUUUUUAACAGCAAUCCUUGUUUUUACCUUCCAAAUGAACCUUGAAAAGGUCUUGUGAACCUUAUUAAAGAAUGAGGUUUUAAAUUAUGUGACAUAGCUGUAGUUGACAUAGGCUACAGAGGAAGACAUUUAUUUCCAGAAGUUACAUCUGUCCUACAGCUGAAGCAGGAUGAGUCAUUCCUAAAGUGUAAUCGUGUCAUUGAGCUUUGGCCCACAGACUAGAGAGUACUCACAACCUCUGUCCCGUAUUGUGUUGACCCGAACAGCGUAUAGGCCAUGAUAUCUUCCGGUGAAUUCCUUCGCAGCGGCAAAGUAGCUUCAUUUGCAGAAAAUGGGUCAGGCAAUGGGACCAACAAUAGGGACAAUAAAUAAUAAAACAAGAGUUAAUCAGACUGUAACAGCGUGUUUUCUUAUUGCAAAAAUUACAGUCUUUUCCACAAAUGUAAGCCUGUCUUUAAUACAGCAGAAAUGCUUAGAUCAAUCAGAAUGCACAUUUUGUAUGGUACUAGGGAAUUUAAAAGGCAAAAGAAUUUACCAUUAGAAAAUAGAUUUGUUUGUGGAAUUACAUAUUUUAGUCUUAUUAAUGGCACAGCGCUCUGUCCUAUGGCACUCUACACAGUCUAAUGCUUUUCAUUACUCAUGAAAGAGCUGCACGAGCAGGUUAUAUGCUAUUUGCUCAAUGUUCUAGGUUAUUUAAUAUGGGAUUUUUUUUUAAUGAUCUGAAAUACUUGGCAGAGUUGGUGGAAAUCCAGUGCUGUUCAGGGCUUUACUUCAGUGUUAGUCUGCAAGAGCAUCCUGCAGGGUGCAUGUUUUGGGAAGGAACCGCGAUAUGGACUUGGCAGUGUUAGGUUUAUGGUUGGACUCAAUCAUCUUAAAGGUCUUUUCCAACCUAAAUCAUUCUGUGAUUCUAUCUAAAAUAAAAUUGGGCCAUCUGUGGGACUUAUUGAUCUAGCACAAGAAUUUGGAAUUUAAGCAAAAUUAUUUUCUUUGAAACAAGUAUUUAAUGGGAAAAAAAAAAUCACUGUUUUUUCCUUGUUUUGUGACUGAAAGGAACAGUAAUUUUUAAAAGCACUGAAACUCAGCAAAACAUGGUAUAGAAUGCCAAAUAUGCUUUCCCUAAAGAUUUUCUAUUCUUACAAAUUUCUGAUUACGCCACUGGUUUUCUGUCAGGCUAAAAUGUCAGUGAAAAUAUAUAGAAUUAGACUUUCUUCCCUCAUCCUAAAUCAUCUGGGAGAUGCAGCAAUCAGUAAACAGAGCUGAGGUUCUCAUACUUCUUACGGUGCCUGUGAAAUCUUUUUGAAUUGCUCUUAAGAUGAACCUAUAACUGUUAAGAUGAAUAAAAAGGUGUGAUCUUGCUUCACGAUCAUACACUUUGUUUAGAAUUUUGUUAAAAUACCUCUAAUUUAUUCCAAAAGUUUGUUUCUGAACUAUUUUUGCCCUCUGAUAAUGUAGUCAAUUAAUAAGCAUUGAACAGAUAAAGAGUGAAGACUUUAUCAAAACUUUCAAAUACAUCCUCCACUUGCUGCUUUUCAAAAGUAAUCGAAAAACAACCAUAUUGUUGAACAAUGAAGAUUUAGGGUGGUCUGAGAACAACCUUAAAGUUGAAUCUCUUUUUAGUUGGCCUGUGACUCUAUUAUGGUGUCACACACUGCCUUCAGGUCUUUCCCUUGGGUGGCUAUUUGUGCAACGUGGUAGCAAUUUACUUUACGUCAACUGGAACUUGUUUAUAGAAAGCAUGUAGUUUUACAUCAUACUUUUCCUUUGUUUUCUUCAAAAGUACUUACAUGCUUUUGUUUUCUUAGAAAUAUUCUUUGAGAAAAGACAGUAACUCAAUAGAGGUAUUAAUAUUUUAUUUUGGAUUAAUUUCUGUUUUGCUUUUUGCGAUUUCAGAUAAAAUGUUUUUGAUGAUUAAUGUGUCAAUAAGAACAGUAAACAUUCUUCAGGAUGCUUUAUGACCAUCUUUUUAACAGCACAGAGAUAAGACAGUAUUUUGGAUUAAUUUUUUUUUCUCUUUCCGCAUCAAAAGGAUGUAAGUAUUACCAGACAAAACAAAAUAAAAUAUUCACUCUUCUUA
This is a long non-coding RNA of Aquila chrysaetos chrysaetos, 7037 nucleotides long. RefSeq lists it as uncharacterized. The record is from RefSeq and is a predicted model, not a curated record. Lineage: Eukaryota; Metazoa; Chordata; Aves; Accipitriformes; Accipitridae. The transcript has 2 exons.